Molecule: ribosomal RNA, 373 nt
Filed under: uncultured organism
Description: partial 16S ribosomal RNA
Rfam family: Bacterial small subunit ribosomal RNA
Source: RNAcentral
GUAGGUGGCAAGCGUUGUCCGGAAUUAUUGGGCGUAAAGCGCGCGCAGGCGGUUCUUUAAGUCUGAUGUGAAAGCCCACGGCUCAACCGUGGAGGGUCAUUGGAAACUGGAGAACUUGAGUACAGAAGAGGAAAGCGGAAUUCCACGUGUAGCGGUGAAAUGCGUAGAGAUGUGGAGGAACACCAGUGGCGAAGGCGGCUUUCUGGUCUGUAACUGACGCUGAGGCGCGAAAGCGUGGGGGAGCAAACAGGAUUAGAUACCCUGGUAGUCCACGCCGUAAACGAUGAGUGCUAAGUGUUAGGGGGUUUCCGCCCCCUUAGUGCUGCAGCUAACGCAUUAAGCACUCCGCCUGGGAGUACGGCCGCAAGGCUGA